Molecule: ribosomal RNA, 497 nt
Filed under: uncultured bacterium
Lineage: Bacteria
Description: partial 16S ribosomal RNA
Rfam family: Bacterial small subunit ribosomal RNA
Source: RNAcentral
GAUGAACGCUGGCGGCGUGCCUAAUACAUGCCAGUCGAGCGAACAGAUGAGGAGCUUGCUCCUCCGACGUUAGCGGCGGACGGGUGAGUAACACGUGGAUAACCUACCUAUAAGACUGGGAUAACUUCGGGAAACCGGAGCUAAUACCGGAUAAUAUAUUGAACCGCAUGGUUCAAUAGUGAAAGACGGUUUUGCUGUCACUUAUAGAUGGAUCCGCGCCGCAUUAGCUAGUUGGUAAGGUAACGGCUUACCAAGGCAACGAUGCGUAGCCGACCUGAGAGGGUGAUCGGCCACACUGGAACUGAGACACGGUCCAGACUCCUACGGGAGGCAGCAGUAGGGAAUCUUCCGCAAUGGGCGAAAGCCUGACGGAGCAACGCCGCGUGAGUGAUGAAGGUCUUCGGAUCGUAAAACUCUGUUAUUAGGGAAGAACAAAUGUGUAAGUAACUAUGCACGUCUUGACGGUACCUAAUCAGAAAGCCACGGCUAACUACGUG